Amphiprion ocellaris (clown anemonefish) is the source of this 2136-nucleotide long non-coding RNA. The record is from Ensembl. NCBI's taxonomy places the organism in Eukaryota, Metazoa, Chordata, Actinopteri, Pomacentridae.
GGAAAAAUUCUAAAUUCUCUGAUUUCAGCUUCUUAAAGUUGAAUAUUUUCAGUUUUUUUCUGCUUUUAUGACAGAAAACUGAAUAUUUUUGAAAACAACCAGCGUUUUUCUCCAUUUUCUUCUAUUUUAUUGACCAAACUAUUAAUAUAACUGAGAAAAUAAUUUCAGUUAAUUGUUGCAGUUUCCUUUAUAAUCAAUCAGAAAAAUGUCUAAACUCUCUGAUUCCAGCUUCUUAUAUUUGAAGAUUUUUUCUGUCUUUAUGACAUAAAACUUAAUAUUUUGGGGUUUAAGACAAAGCAAGACACAAUAAAUUGGUCUAUAAAAAGUCAGAAAAUGGUGAAAAAUGUCAAACACCUCGACUAACCGAGAAAAUAAUCAGUUUAUCAGUUAAUUAUUGCAGCUCUACAGUCACUGUCCUUAAAAUCAAUUAAUUGUCAACUAUGGAAUCAUCCAGCAGCUGUUCUGAUCUUUGAUUUUAGGUUGUUUUUUUAAAUGGAAAAAGUCUAAAUUCCUUGAUUCCACCUUCCUAAAGUUGAAUAUUUUCAGGUUUUUUUCUGCUUUUAUGACAGAAAACUGAAUAUUUUUUGAAAACAAUUGAGAUUUUUCACCAUUUUCAUCCAUUUUAGAGACCAAACUAUAAGUUUAAAUCUGUCAAUCAAAAAAAUGUCUAAAUUCUCUCAUUCCAGUGUCUUAAAUUUGAAUAUUUUUUUCUGUCUUUAUGACAUAACACUGAGCAUUUUGAGGUUUUAUGCAAAGCAAGGCAUGAUAAAUCGGUCUAUAAAAAGUCAGAAAUGGUGAAAAAUGUCAAAUAACACCUCGAUUAACUAAGAAAAUGAUCAUUUUCUCAGUUAAUUAUUGAAGCUCUGCAGUUAGUUUCCUUUAUAAUCAAUUAUUUGUCAACUGUGGUGACAUCUGCAGCUGUUCUGAUCAUAGAUUUUAUGUUUUUUUUAAGGACAAAAGGUCUAAAUUCUCUGACUCCAGCUUCUUAAAGUUGAAUAUAUUCAGUUUUUUUCUGCUUUUAUGACAGAAAACCUAAUGUUUUUAAAAACAAUCAACAUUUUUCUCCAUUUCUUCUAUUUUAUUGACCAAACAGCAAAUCUUAGUCAUUCAGGACCUGAAGCUGUGCAGUUAUUCCAGUUUGCGUCUAAAUUUCAGAGAAGCUCUUCUGUGAGGAUCUGAUGGGGAAACUUUGGUGGAUUUAGUUUGAACCUCCUGCUGUGCCUUGAGUCCUGAACAGAACAGAACAAAUCAGCGUCUUUGUUGGAUUCGAGGCGUUUCUAACCUCCUGCACGACGUUGUUGAAGCUCGGCUCGCUGCACUGCCUCGUCCUCGUGACGUCCAAUCAGAUUCCAGAGCAACAAUCACCUUCCUUCCCAUCCUGGUGCCCAGAGUCUGCCUCACUUUAAGCAAUACUCGCUUCUCCUCCACCUGGAUGUUUGUCUCACCGUCGAUGGAUGAAACUUCAGGUGCUUCGGUCUCUGCAGGGUUCCUUCAGGAACCUUUAGGGUUCUUCUGGUUGAACACAGCAAACCCACUGGAGCCUUCUCAUGAAGCCUGAAGCAGCUUUUUAUUCCUGGAUGCUGCUGCAGGUUGAGGACUGAGGAACAAAAAAAUAAAAACAAACCUUCAAAUGUGCUUCAAGAACUCUCAGGAGGAGAUUUAAGGAGUUACCUGGUCCUCCAUCACCUCAAACUGCAGCUUAUUUAUGGUUUCAUGUCCGCCUGCUGCUCUUCUUCUACUACUUUCUCUUCUACUUCAUCUUCUACGACUUCAUCUUCUUCUCCUACAUAUUCUUCUAAUUCUUCUUGUUCUACAACUUCUAACUUCUACUCUUUCUAACUUUUCCUUGUUCUUUUUCUAACAUCUUGUUCUACUUCUCCUACAUCUUCUCCUUCUGUCUGCUACUACAUCUUUUCGUCCACUACUUCUUCUGCUACUACUUCUAACGUCUUCUUCUACUUCUUCUACCUGCUUCUUCUUCUAUUAUUGCUUCUCCUCCUCAUUCAUCAUCUCCUCUUCCUUCCUGUCAGACCAGGUCCACUCUUUCCUCCAACGACACAGGUGCUGUUUUUGUAAUGUUUACAGGGAUUUUGUUGUUUCAAAGUGAUGCAGAUUAAAAUAUUCUAAAUGGUGGAA